AACGAACGCUGGCGGCAGGCUUAACACAUGCAAGUCGAACGCACCUUUCGGGGUGAGUGGCAGACGGGUGAGUAACGCGUGGGAAUCUACCCUUCUCUACGGGAUAGCUCCGGGAAACUGGAAUUAAUACCGUAUACGUCCUGAGGGAGAAAGAUUUAUCGGGGAAGGAUGAGCCCGCGUUGGAUUAGCUAGUUGGUGGGGUAAAGGCCUACCAAGGCGACGAUCCAUAGCUGGUCUAAGAGGAUCAUCAGCCACAUUGGGACUGAGACACGGCCCAAACUCCUACGGGAGGCAGCAGUGGGGAAUAUUGGACAAUGGGCGCAAGCCUGAUCCAGCCAUGCCGCGUGAGUGAUGAAGGCCCUAGGGUUGUAAAGCUCUUUCAGUGGGGACGAUAAUGACGGUACCCACAGAAGAAGCCCCGGCUAACUUCGUG
Molecule: ribosomal RNA, 433 nt
Filed under: uncultured bacterium
Lineage: Bacteria
Description: partial 16S ribosomal RNA
Rfam family: Bacterial small subunit ribosomal RNA
Source: RNAcentral